This is a non-coding RNA of Bactrocera oleae (olive fruit fly), 2025 nucleotides long. The record is from RefSeq and is a predicted model, not a curated record. Lineage: Eukaryota; Metazoa; Arthropoda; Insecta; Diptera; Tephritidae.
AGCUGAUUAUUUGUUUAUAUUUGCGCUUACACAUAAAAUUUACUUUUAUUUUGAAAUAUGAGUAAACACGGGAAUCACCAUUAAAUUGUGUGUAUACUCUGUUCCAAAUAUGCAAAAGCCAUUGUUUUUCAACAGGGCAUACGAUAUACAUAUAAUCAGUUUGUUGCCGUCUAAAAAUAACUACGGAUAAAUAAUAUGUAGAUGCCUACUAUACACAAAUAGGUAUAGAAGGAACAAAUUUCCACUAUUAAAACAUAUAUACAUAGUAUGCACUCGGUGCAAUGUGCUACAACGCAAUUAUUUUAGAAAUGCAAUAGAAUUAUGUGCUAUUUAUAAAAAAAAGUACAAAAUGUUCGCUUGUGGCGGCAAAAAGUGGUUUAAAUCUAAGCGUACUAAAUAUGAUGAUAAAGAACUUGAUCAGAUUUGGCCGCCAUAUGGUUCAGAUUUUAUGCUCACCGAACACGGCAAGAGAUUACUGCAUAAAUUGCAAUAUGUGCAAAAACCUGAUAUCAGUGAUAUUGAUGUAGAGAGUCUCAUAGAGCAAUCUUUGCGCUUCCCAAUCAAGUUUGGUCGUGAUACAUGUCGCGUAAUGAGUCAACCAAAGGAACGCUAUGAUGAAAUUACAAAACAAAUUGCUUCUGCUUAUCCGUUAAUACAUGAACGUGUUGUUGGUUUAUAUUUGGCAUUUUUGGAGCACAAAUGCAAAUAUGGUAAUGAGCUGGAACGCGCAAUUUAUGUAGAUAUGACUCUUACAGAUCUAGUCCAACGUUUACUUGAGAAACGUUGUGUAGCCUUCGUAGGGCCACUCGACGACUAUCUGCUUUUGAAGGGCAGAAAAACCUUAGCUAAUUUUUUCGAUGUAGGCACCGUUGAUGAGAAAGCGCCAUUGUUAUUAAAAGACGUUUUAAGUUAUGAUGAGAUAAAGCUUUCCGCUUUUCUUUCAGUAUCAUCACACACCGAAUUUUUAAACAAUGGUAGACGUUUUAAUGCUGGCAUCAUUGAAGAGGAUAAAUCAAAAAUAGAAAUUGAAGGUGUUAUCAUAGGUAUAAUCGGCGGCCGUUUCGAGGCAGAAGAUGUAAUGGAGUGGCAGGAUAUUAUGAUAACACCAAUGCAAAAUACGAAAGCACGUGGUUAUGGUUACAAAACGAAAUCAGCAAUGAAGACAAAAAAUCCAAAGGUUGACUACCGACAAUUGUGGAUACGUUUUUAUGAAGAACAAGAUUUGCUUUAUGCUAAAGUAGAAAACAUAAAUUCACCACGUUUCUUUAAAGAUAAAAUUACACGUUAUAUUUUUGACAAUCUGAUGAUGAAAAAACGUUAUGCUAUAACAUUCGAUACACUACUGUUGGAGUCUAACGCGCGUGGUAAAGCUAUCGAAAAACAAGUGUAUCUACAUGUGGUUGGUAUUGGAUUGGGCGCCUGGCGUGCCGUACAACAUCAGGAUAAAAUAUUUUUGAAAACGUUUAAAGAGCGCAUGCAUGCGCUUUUAUUAUGCCUUACACAUAUAUCGGUGGUACACUUUUCGAAUUUUCGCCCAUCCGCUGCGAAAGACUUUAUAACGGAUGGUGAUAAGAUUGUGUCGGCAAAUCACCCUAGCGGCGGUAUACAAACAUUUGUGCAAGAUCGUUAUCCAGCGGAGAAAUUAAUUACUUUUUAGCCGCCAGCAUAUGAAAAAAUGUUAAUAGUUGAAUCGUACGCCUGGGAUGGCAAUGCAUUGCCAGGAAAUGAGUUUUGGAAGGGCGCUCUCACCAGCUCCGGUGAUCCUGCCGCUGCUUGCAGCACUCUAAUUGCAGAACUACAUAAUCCCCAUAUAAACAGUAAAAUGGUGAAUGGCGAAAAUUUGCAUGUGGCCUCCGAACGCUACGGUGUCUUACAUAUAGCUGAAUACGCCAAAAAAAUAUUAGGUUAGAUUAAAGCACGUGCUAUUAAGAAUUUUAUUACUUUGUUUUUCAUUGUCUAAAAGUAUUCAAUAACAUAAAUGGCAUUCGUAUUAUAAUUAUACACUGAAACUACAUUUUUACAAAA